UACGGAGGGUGCAAGCGUUGUCCGGAUUUAUUGGGUUUAAAGGGUGCGUAGGCGGGAGAUUAAGUCAGAGGUGAAAGACUGCAGCUCAACUGUAGAAGUGCCUUUGAUACUGGCUAUCUUGAGUGUGGGAGAGGUUAGCGGAACUCCGAGUGUAGAGGUGAAAUUCGUAGAUAUUCGGAAGAACACCAGUGGCGAAGGCGGCUGACUGGCCCAUUACUGACGCUGAGGCUCGAAAGCGUGGGGAGCAAACCGG
Molecule: ribosomal RNA, 253 nt
Filed under: uncultured bacterium
Lineage: Bacteria
Description: partial 16S ribosomal RNA
Rfam family: Bacterial small subunit ribosomal RNA
Source: RNAcentral